Molecule: long non-coding RNA, 1263 nt
Organism: Diabrotica virgifera virgifera (western corn rootworm)
Lineage: Eukaryota; Metazoa; Arthropoda; Insecta; Coleoptera; Chrysomelidae
Exons: 3
Source: RefSeq, a predicted model, not a curated record
CAAUAAAGUAGAUUGCAUGAUCUUAUGCCGAUUAAAGAAAUUCAGCCGUCGCAAAAUGUGAAGCAACAGUAAAACAAACAAAGAUUUCAGAAUAUUUUAAAUUGAUUCGAUUGUACGAGCUCAAAUCCCUCUUAUAUUGUCAAACAAACCAUACAAAUGAAAUUUGAGAGUUGUACUGUGAAUUUUGAAUUUCUUUUUAAUGUUCUGUUAACCGUCUUUUCGAUUAUCCGUCAUACCCUUGGUCCGGUGCCCUGACGGAUAAUCGAGGUUCUACUGUACUUAAAUAUUAGGCAAUCCAAACCACGUGACCUCUGGUUGGCACACAAACUAACAAAGAGGUUAUGUUUGUAUCUAUUUUUCAAUGAUUUUUCAUUGUUUAUCGUCGUAUUUUGUCUAUUUUGGAUUUCGUUUCCUGUUUUUGUGAACUUUAUAAACUUUACUACAAUGCAAACUGAUUAUUUAAGGAAAUUAUUAUUGGAAACUCCAGAUGUUGUGAGAAAGAUAUUUAUUGAAGCUGAAAAUAAUUGUGGAUUUAGAUCCAUACGCAAUUCAGUCAGAAUUGGAUUUUACAGUAAAGUGCAGACCAUCAAGUUACUAUUAUAGAUAUUUAUACAUAUCUGGUGGAAUCUCGCAGUUGCUACUCUAAGCAGCAGAUGAAAGCACACAAAAGCCUUCAGGCACAUAAAUAUUUUACAGCUGGAUUUGUUUUGAAUGGAGUAAAAAUUGUUAAUGAUUUCCUGAUUUCCAUAUUAUUGUUGGAAAGGUGAAGCAUUUCCAAAAAUCUAAUGCUAAACGACUAAAUGCUUGGGUGGGGUGAUAGCCAGUUCUGAUGACAUAGCAAAUGCAGAUUGUAUGCGUAUGGCCAGUAAUAGUGAAGUCUGCAGCAAUCCUAUUUUUAGCUGAGUAUGCCCAGGGCAAGAUAGACGAAGAAGAACCCAAUGUUACAGCUACAUGGUUUGGAGAUAGCAACAUAUGCAUUCUCUGAUGAAAAACUAAUGAGUUUUGAAACUGUUCGGUCAGAGUGCUUGUUGUGCUCACUAAACGAACUGAAAUAUAAGAUGGCUUUGGCGUUGUGUUGCAGCGAUAUGAAAAUGGUUAUUCAUUUUUAAUUAUAAUGUACUUCUUCAUCAUGAGUAGUUAUGUAUUGGUCUUUUAAAUGUGUAUUUAUUUUUGUAAUUAGUAUCAACUUGUAAUGAUAAUAUACAUUUAUCGUUUAAGGUAUGACUAUGUUUUGACUCUAAAAUAAAUGAUUUAAAAAUCGAA